GAGUUUGAUCAUGGCUCAGGACGAACGCUGGCGGCGUGCUUAAUACAUGCAAGUCAAUUUGUUUUACGGUAGCAAUAUUGUAAGAAGAGUGGCGCACGGGUGAGUAACGCGUAUGCAACCUGCCCUUUACAGGGGGAUAGCCCGUAGAAAUGCGGAUUAAUACCCCAUAGAUCUGUUUGAUCGCAUGGUUAUACAGAUAAAGCCGAGGUGGUAAAGGAUGGGCAUGCGUGACAUUAGCUAGUUGGUAGGGUAACGGCCUACCAAGGCUACGAUGUCUAGGGGUUCUGAGAGGAGGAUCCCCCACACUGGUACUGAGACACGGACCAGACUCCUACGGGAGGCAGCAGUGAGGAAUAUUGGUCAAUGGGCGAGAGCCUGAACCAGCCAUCCCGCGUGCAGGAAGAAUGCCCUAUGGGUUGUAAACUGCUUUUUCGCAUGAAGAACAUUCCGGUCGUGACCGGGACUGACGGUAAUGCGUGAAUAAGCACCGGCUAACUCCGUGCCAGCAGCCGCGGUAAUACGGGGGGUGCAAGCGUUAUCCGGAUUUAUUGGGUUUAAAGGGUGCGUAGGCGGCGAACUAAGUCAGUGGUGAAAUCCUGCAGCUCAACUGUAGAACAGCCAUUGAAACUGCUUUGCUUGAGUGAUCUUGAGGUAGGCGGAAUGUGUAGUGUAGCGGUGAAAUGCUUAGAUAUUACACAGA
RNAcentral lists this ribosomal RNA (700 nucleotides) under uncultured bacterium. RNAcentral's name for it is "bacterial SSU rRNA". It matches the Rfam family "Bacterial small subunit ribosomal RNA", at positions 9 to 705 of the family's 1533-position model. The record is from RNAcentral.